UACAGAGGUCUCAAGCGUUGUUCGGAUUCAUUGGGCGUAAAGGGUGCGUAGGCGGCGCGGUAAGUCGGGUGUGAAAUCUCGGAGCUUAACUCCGAAACUGCAUUCGAUACUGCCGUGCUUGAGGACUGGAGAGGAGACUGGAAUUUACGGUGUAGCGGUGAAAUGCGUAGAUAUCAGGAAGAACACCCGUGGCGAAAGCGGCUCUCUGGGACGGUACUGACGCUGAGACGCGAAAGCGUGGGGAGCGAACAGG
This 253-nucleotide ribosomal RNA is filed under the name uncultured bacterium. RNAcentral's name for it is "partial 16S ribosomal RNA". It matches the Rfam family "Bacterial small subunit ribosomal RNA", at positions 524 to 776 of the family's 1533-position model. The record is from RNAcentral.